Molecule: ribosomal RNA, 232 nt
Filed under: uncultured bacterium
Lineage: Bacteria
Description: partial 16S ribosomal RNA
Rfam family: Bacterial small subunit ribosomal RNA
Source: RNAcentral
GAUCAUGGCUCAGGAUGAACGCUAGCUACAGGCUUAACACAUGCAAGUCGAGGGGCAGCAUUUUAGUUUGCUUGCAAACUAAAGAUGGCGACCGGCGCACGGGUGAGUAACACGCAUCCAACCUGCCGAUAACUCUGGGAUAGCCUUUCGAAAGAAAGAUUAAUACCGGAUGGCAUAGGAUUAUCGCAUGAUAAUCCUAUUAAAGAAUUUCGGUUAUCGAUGGGUAUGCGUU